Molecule: ribosomal RNA, 457 nt
Filed under: uncultured bacterium
Lineage: Bacteria
Description: partial 16S ribosomal RNA
Rfam family: Bacterial small subunit ribosomal RNA
Source: RNAcentral
GAUGAAUGCUGGCGGCGUGCCUAAUACAUGCAAGUCGUACGGAAAGGCCCUUCGGGGUACUCGAGUGGCGGACGGCUGAGUAACGCGUGGGAACGUGCCCCAAGGUGAGGAGUAACUGCCCGAAAGGGUAGCUAAUGCCGCAUAUGGUCUUCGGAUUAAAGCUUCGGCGCUUUGGGAGCGGCCCGCGUACGAUUAGAUAGUUGGUGAGGUAAUGGCUCACCAAGUCGACGAUCGUUAGCUGGUCUGAGAGGAUGAUCAGCCAGACUGGAACUGAGACACGGUCCAGACUCCUACGGGAGGCAGCAGUAAGGAAUCUUCCACAAUGGGCGAAAGCCUGAUGGAGCAACGCCGCGUGCAGGAUGAAGGCCUUCGGGUCGUAAACUGCUUUUAUAAGUGAAGAAUAUGACGGUAACUUAUGAAUAAGCACCGGCUAACUACGUGCCAGCCGCCGCCGUAA